RNAcentral lists this transfer RNA (72 nucleotides) under Caenorhabditis remanei. It matches the Rfam family "tRNA". From Rfam's summary of the family: Transfer RNA (tRNA) molecules are approximately 80 nucleotides in length. The record is from Rfam by way of RNAcentral. Lineage: Eukaryota; Metazoa; Nematoda; Chromadorea; Rhabditida; Rhabditidae.
ACCUGUGUGGCUCAGUGGCAGAGCGUCUGUUUAGUAAACAGAACGUCGCUGGUUCGAUUCCAGCAUGAGGCA